GACGAACGCUGGCGGCGUGCUUAACACAUGCAAGUCGAACGGAAAGGCCCUGCUUUUGUGGGGUGCUCGAGUGGCGAACGGGUGAGUAACACGUGAGUAACCUGCCCUUGACUUUGGGAUAACUUCAGGAAACUGGGGCUAAUACCUGAUAGGAGCUCCUGCUGCAUGGUGGGGGUUGGAAAGUUUCGGCGGUUGGGGAUGGACUCGCGGCUUAUCAGCUUGUUGGUGGGGUAGUGGCUUACCAAGGCUUUGACGGGUAGCCGGCCUGAGAGGGUGACCGGCCACAUUGGGACUGAGAUACGGCCAAGACUCCUACGGGAGGCAGCAGUGGGGAAUAGUGCACAAUGGGCGGAAGCCUGAUGCAGCAACGCCGCGUGCGGGAUGACGGCCGUCGGGUUGUAAACCGCUUUCGCCUGUGACGAAGCGUGAGUGACGGUAAUGGGUAAAGAAGCACCGGCAAACUACGU
Molecule: ribosomal RNA, 467 nt
Filed under: uncultured bacterium
Lineage: Bacteria
Description: partial 16S ribosomal RNA
Rfam family: Bacterial small subunit ribosomal RNA
Source: RNAcentral